UUGUUUUAAUUUGAUUACAAUUAAUCAUUAAGGUUAUUUCGUCUUUUUACCAAAGAUAUGGGUUACUACAGUUUUUGAAACCAAACGUGUGUCAUUUAAGUUAUUUAUGUUAAGAGUUGAGUCAAUCUAAGCAAAUCUUACUU
RNAcentral lists this small RNA (143 nucleotides) under Arabidopsis thaliana (thale cress). RNAcentral describes it as "ATSL224870". The record is from RNAcentral. Lineage: Eukaryota; Viridiplantae; Streptophyta; Magnoliopsida; Brassicales; Brassicaceae.